This 282-nucleotide long non-coding RNA is filed under the name Homo sapiens (human). Its description in RNAcentral is "HSALNT0035416". The record is from RNAcentral. Lineage: Eukaryota; Metazoa; Chordata; Mammalia; Primates; Hominidae.
GUCUAUCUACAGGAACAAGGGCUUCCCCUCUUGCUGCUGUACUUUAGGGAUGUACUGUAGAGUUGGACCCAAUCUGCCAGGCUCCGGGUCACUCAGAGUGACUUUCUUCUCAGGCUGCUUGCCCUUCUCUGUCAUCUGACUUCCGUGGAGGUAAGGCCCUAACUAAACACUUAACUCAGGCACAGCCAAGGUGGUAUGUAAAGUAGACCAACCUUAGUUGUCAUGACAUUUUGUAGUUUUGUCUCUAAAGUCCUUGUUUCCAAAGUGUUUCUUCAUGCUUGA